AGAGCAUCAGUGAUGUUAUAUCCAUCUUAACUCAUCCUUGCACUAUGAGUCAACCAGUGAAGAAACUAUGGGGGAAUAUUUAGUCUGAGAUGCUC
This 95-nucleotide small nucleolar RNA is filed under the name Oryza longistaminata (longstamen rice). Its description in RNAcentral is "snoRNA snoR26". It matches the Rfam family "Small nucleolar RNA snoR26". The record is from RNAcentral. Lineage: Eukaryota; Viridiplantae; Streptophyta; Magnoliopsida; Poales; Poaceae.